UAAUGGGUGAUGGCGUGCCUUUUGUAGAAUGAACCGGCGAGUUACGAUUUGAUGCAAGGUUAAGCAGUAAAUGUGGAGCCGUAGCGAAAGCGAGUCUGAAUAGGGCGUUUAGUAUUUGGUCGUAGACCCGAAACCAGGUGAUCUACCCUUGGUCAGGUUGAAGUUCAGGUAACACUGAAUGGAGGACCGAACCGACUUACGUUGAAAAGUGAGCGGAUGAACUGAGGGUAGCGGAGAAAUUCCAAUCGAACCUGGAGAUAGCUGGUUCUCUCCGAAAUAGCUUUAGGGCUAGCCUCAAGUGAUGAUUAUUGGAGGUAGAGCACUGUUUGGACGAGGGGCCCCUCUCGGGUUACCGAAUUCAGACAAACUCCGAAUGCCAAUUAAUUUAACUUGGGAGUCAGAACAUGGGUGAUAAGGUCCGUGUUCGAAAGGGAAACAGCCCAGACCACCAGCUAAGGUCCCAAAAUAUAUGUUAAGUGGAAAAGGAUGUGGCGUUGCCCAGACAACUAGGAUGUUGGCUUAGAAGCAGCCAUCAUUUAAAGAGUGCGUAAUAGCUCACUAGUCGAGUGACACUGCGCCGAAAAUGUACCGGGGCUAAACAUAUUACCGAAGCUGUGGAUUGUCCUUUGGACAAUGGUAGGAGAGCGUUCUAAGGGCGUUGAAGCAUGAUCGUAAGGACAUGUGGAGCGCUUAGAAGUGAGAAUGCCGGUGUGAGUAGCGAAAGACGGGUGAGAAUCCCGUCCACCGAUUGACUAAGGUUUCCAGAGGAAGGCUCGUCCGCUCUGGGUUAGUCGGGUCCUAAGCUGAGGCCGACAGGCGUAGGCGAUGGAUAACAGGUUGAUAUUCCUGUACCACCUAUAAUCGUUUUAAUCGAUGGGGGGACGCAGUAGGAUAGGCGAAGCGUGCGAUUGGAUUGCACGUCUAAGCAGUAAGGCUGAGUAUUAGGCAAAUCCGGUACUCGUUAAGGCUGAGCUGUGAUGGGGAGAAGACAUUGUGUCUUCGAGUCGUUGAUUUCACACUGCCGAGAAAAGCCUCUAGAUAGAAAAUAGGUGCCCGUACCGCAAACCGACACAGGUAGUCAAGAUGAGAAUUCUAAGGUGAGCGAGCGAACUCUCGUUAAGGAACUCGGCAAAAUGACCCCGUAACUUCGGGAGAAGGGGUGCUCUUUAGGGUUAACGCCCAGAAGAGCCGCAGUGAAUAGGCCCAAGCGACUGUUUAUCAAAAACACAGGUCUCUGCUAAACCGUAAGGUGAUGUAUAGGGGCUGACGCCUGCCCGGUGCUGGAAGGUUAAGAGGAGUGGUUAGCUUCUGCGAAGCUACGAAUCGAAGCCCCAGUAAACGGCGGCCGUAACUAUAACGGUCCUAAGGUAGCGAAAUUCCUUGUCGGGUAAGUUCCGACCCGCACGAAAGGCGUAACGAUUUGGGCACUGUCUCAACGAGAGACUCGGUGAAAUCAUAGUACCUGUGAAGAUGCAGGUUACCCGCGACAGGACGGAAAGACCCCGUGGAGCUUUACUGUAGCCUGAUAUUGAAAUUCGGCACAGCUUGUACAGGAUAGGUAGGAGCCUUUGAAACGUGAGCGCUAGCUUACGUGGAGGCGCUGGUGGGAUACUACCCUAGCUGUGUUGGCUUUCUAACCCGCACCACUUAUCGUGGUGGGAGACAGUGUCAGGCGGGCAGUUUGACUGGGGCGGUCGCCUCCUAAAAGGUAACGGAGGCGCUCAAAGGUUCCCUCAGAAUGGUUGGAAAUCAUUCAUAGAGUGUAAAGGCAUAAGGGAGCUUGACUGCGAGACCUACAAGUCGAGCAGGGUCGAAAGACGGACUUAGUGAUCCGGUGGUUCCGCAUGGAAGGGCCAUCGCUCAACGGAUAAAAGCUACCCCGGGGAUAACAGGCUUAUCUCCCCCAAGAGUUCACAUCGACGGGGAGGUUUGGCACCUCGAUGUCGGCUCAUCGCAUCCUGGGGCUGUAGUCGGUCCCAAGGGUUGGGCUGUUCGCCCAUUAAAGCGGUACGCGAGCUGGGUUCAGAACGUCGUGAGACAGUUCGGUCCCUAUCCGUCGUGGGCGUAGGAAAUUUGAGAGGAGCUGUCCUUAGUACGAGAGGACCGGGAUGGACAUACCUCUGGUGUACCAGUUGUCGUGCCAACGGCAUAGCUGGGUAGCUAUGUGUGGACGGGAUAAGUGCUGAAAGCAUCUAAGCAUGAAGCCCCCCUCAAGAUGAGAUUUCCCAACUUCGGUUAUAAGAUCCCUCAAAGAUGAUGAGGUUAAUAGGUUCGAGGUGGAAGCAUGGUGACAUGUGGAGCUGACGAAUACUAAUCGAUCGAAGACUUAAUCAA
RNAcentral lists this ribosomal RNA (2334 nucleotides) under Staphylococcus aureus. Its description in RNAcentral is "partial 23S ribosomal RNA". It matches the Rfam family "Bacterial large subunit ribosomal RNA", at positions 587 to 2925 of the family's 2925-position model. RNAcentral also lists the same sequence under 2 other names. Lineage: Bacteria; Bacillati; Bacillota; Bacilli; Caryophanales; Staphylococcaceae. The record is from RNAcentral.